UGGGGAAUAUUGCACAAUGGGGGAAACCCUGAUGCAGCGACGCCGCGUGAGCGAAGAAGGUUUUCGAAUCGUAAAGCUCUGUCCUUUGGGAAGAUAAUGACUGUACCAUAGGAGGAAGCCCCGGCUAACUACGUGCCAGCAGCCGCGGUAAUACGUAGGGGGCAAGCGUUGUCCGGAAUCACUGGGCGUAAAGGGUUCGCAGGCGGAAAUGCAAGUCAGUUGUGAAAGGCAGAGGCUCAACCUCUGUAAGCAAUUGAAACUGUAUUUCUGGAGAUGUGGAGAGGCAAGUGGAAUUCCUAGUGUAGCGGUGAAAUGCGUAGAUAUUAGGAAGAAUACCGGUGGGGAAGGCGACUUGCUGGACACAAACUGACGCUGAGGAACGAAAGCGUGGGUAGCAAACAGG
This 403-nucleotide ribosomal RNA is filed under the name Fusobacteriota bacterium. RNAcentral describes it as "Fusobacteria bacterium partial 16S ribosomal RNA". It matches the Rfam family "Bacterial small subunit ribosomal RNA", at positions 355 to 776 of the family's 1533-position model. Lineage: Bacteria; Fusobacteriati; Fusobacteriota. The record is from RNAcentral.